GAUGAACGCUGGCGGCGUGCCUAAUACAUGCAAGUCGAGCGAACAGACGAGGAGCUUGCUCCUCUGACGUUAGCGGCGGACGGGUGAGUAACACGUGGAUAACCUACCUAUAAGACUGGGAUAACUUCGGGAAACCGGAGCUAAUACCGGAUAAUAUAUUGAACCGCAUGGUUCAAUAGUGAAAGACGGUUUUGCUGUCACUUAUAGAUGGAUCCGCGCCGGAUUAGCUAGUUGGUAAGGUAACGGCUUACCAAGGCGACGAUGCGUAGCCGACCUGAGAGGGUGAUCGGCCACACUGGAACUGAGACACGGUCCAGACUCCUACGGGAGGCAGCAGUAGGGAAUCUUCCGCAAUGGGCGAAAGCCUGACGGAGCAACGCCGCGUGAGUGAUGAAGGUCUUCGGAUCGUAAAACUCUGUUAUUAGGGAAGAACAAAUGUGUAAGUAACUAUGCACGUCUUGACGGUACCUAAUCAGAAAGCCACGGCUAAAUACGUG
This 497-nucleotide ribosomal RNA is filed under the name uncultured bacterium. Its description in RNAcentral is "partial 16S ribosomal RNA". It matches the Rfam family "Bacterial small subunit ribosomal RNA", at positions 28 to 507 of the family's 1533-position model. The record is from RNAcentral.